This is a long non-coding RNA of Gekko japonicus, 211 nucleotides long. RefSeq lists it as uncharacterized. The record is from RefSeq and is a predicted model, not a curated record. The transcript is spliced from 3 exons. Lineage: Eukaryota; Metazoa; Chordata; Lepidosauria; Squamata; Gekkonidae.
GUCAUGCUGGGUGAUGUCCAUAUUUUGAGCCAGGUGGAGUCAUCUGUGGGGAUGGAACAAUCCGAAUUCCAUGCCUUUUGAUCUUGAACGAGUUGGGCGCACUCGCUGGGGUGAACCAAGAUUGGCCUACAAAAUAGGUGGAUGCCAGAGCGAUGAAUUUGCCUCGGAUCACGGCUUUCAAUGCAUCCCAAACUAAAUGUUGUGAGACCCC